Molecule: long non-coding RNA, 715 nt
Organism: Eriocheir sinensis (Chinese mitten crab)
Lineage: Eukaryota; Metazoa; Arthropoda; Malacostraca; Decapoda; Varunidae
Exons: 2
Source: RefSeq, a predicted model, not a curated record
GUCCGUCCAUCUUGGGUUUUAAGGGACCAAGGGGGAACAACUUUAGCGUCGGACAUCAACAUCUUCGUAUGAAAACUCCAACGAUGUGAAAAUGAGGAAUUGGCGAGUCUUUGUAAACUUGAAAAUGUACUGAAGAAACAACUUAAGGUAUUUUGGAAAGGUUUUAAUGGCAAAAAUAAUAUUGACUUAAUUUUGCGGACAUCAACAUCUUCGUAUGAAAACUCCAACGAUGUGAAAAUGAGGAAUUGGCGAGUCUUUGUAAACUUGAAAAUGUACUAAAAAACAACUUAAGGUAUUUUGCAUAGACCUUAAUGGCAAAAAUAAACAGUAAUAAGAGACUGACUUGGUUUCGUCUUCGUAUAAAAAAUUCAGAUGAUACAAAAAAAGAAAGAUUUGGCGAGUCUUCGGAAAGUUCUAACUCAUAAAAAAAACUUCCAGGUAAUUUUUCAAAGUCCUUAAAAUGCAAAUAAUGUAGACUAAUUGAAGAUUCUGGGGUAUUUAAAGCAAUGGUAGAGGAUGUUGGCUAUAGGCUAUCAGGAGGUUCUGGGGUACUUAUAACACUGGAGGAGGAGGUUGAUUGGAUGUUAUUGAAGGUCUUAGUAAUUUGGGAAGGUCAUAGCAGCGGCGAAAGCUAAAAUAAGGAAGCAAAAAUAGGGGACAGGCAAAAACUUAACUCAAAAACACUCAAAAAAAUGCAGGAAGAAGAAACGAAGGA